UACGUAGGGUGCGAGCGUUGUCCGGAAUUACUGGGCGUAAAGAGCUCGUAGGUGGUUUGUCGCGUUGUCCGUGAAAACUCACAACUCAAUUGUGGGCGUGCGGGCGAUACGGGCAGACUGGAGUACUGCAGGGGAGACUGGAAUUCCUGGUGUAGCGGUGGAAUGCGCAGAUAUCAGGAGGAACACCGAUGGCGAAGGCGGCUCUCUGGGACGGUACUGACGCUGAGACGCGAAGGCUAGGGGAGCGAACAGG
RNAcentral lists this ribosomal RNA (253 nucleotides) under uncultured bacterium. RNAcentral's name for it is "partial 16S ribosomal RNA". It matches the Rfam family "Bacterial small subunit ribosomal RNA", at positions 524 to 776 of the family's 1533-position model. The record is from RNAcentral.